Molecule: ribosomal RNA, 467 nt
Filed under: uncultured bacterium
Lineage: Bacteria
Description: partial 16S ribosomal RNA
Rfam family: Bacterial small subunit ribosomal RNA
Source: RNAcentral
GACGAACGCUGGCGGCGUGCUUAACACAUGCAAGUCGAACGGAAAGGCCCUGCUUUUGUGGGGUGCUCGAGUGGCGAACGGGUGAGUAACACGUGAGUAACCUGCCCUUGACUUUGGGAUAACUUCAGGAAACUGGGGCUAAUACCGGAUAGGAGCUCCUGCUGCAUGGUGGGGGUUGGAAAGUUUCGGCGGUUGGGGAUGGACUCGCGGCUUAUCAGCUUGUUGGUGGGGUAGUGGCUUACCAAGGCUUUGACGGGUAGCCGGCCUGAGAGGGUGACCGGCCACAUGGGGACUGAGAUACGGCCCAGACUCCUACGAGAGGCAGCAGUGGGGAAUAUUGCACAAUGGGCGGAAGCCUGAUGCAGCAACGCCGCGUGCGGGAGGACGGCCUUCGGGUGGUAAACCGCUUUCGCCUGUGACGAAGCGUGAGUGACGGUAAUGGGUAAAGAAGCACCGGCUAACUACGU